This 232-nucleotide ribosomal RNA is filed under the name Dermacentor reticulatus. RNAcentral describes it as "partial large subunit ribosomal RNA". The record is from RNAcentral. Lineage: Eukaryota; Metazoa; Arthropoda; Arachnida; Ixodida; Ixodidae.
CUAGAGAUGGGUUUCAGGGAAAAGUUUUUUUAAAUUUAAUAAUUAAAGUUAUUUUAAUUUGUGAAGAAACAAUUAUAUAAAUUAAGGACAAGAAGACCCUAAGAAUUUAAGAAUUCUUAUAUUACUUAAAUAUAAAAUAGGAAUUCUUAGUUGGGGCAACUAAAAAACAUUAUAAACUUUUUCUCUUUAAAAUGACCCAUUAUUAAUGAUAAUAUGACUAAAUACUCUAGGG